Camelus ferus (Wild Bactrian camel) is the source of this 72-nucleotide transfer RNA. It matches the Rfam family "tRNA". Rfam says of the family: Transfer RNA (tRNA) molecules are approximately 80 nucleotides in length. Their secondary structure includes four short double-helical elements and three loops (D, anti-codon, and T loops). The record is from Rfam. Lineage: Eukaryota; Metazoa; Chordata; Mammalia; Artiodactyla; Camelidae.
GAAGUUAUAGCUCAGUAGUAGAGUGCAUGCCUAGCAUGCACGAGGUUCUGGGUUCAAUCCCCAGUACCUCCA